Molecule: ribosomal RNA, 397 nt
Filed under: uncultured bacterium
Lineage: Bacteria
Description: partial 16S ribosomal RNA
Rfam family: Bacterial small subunit ribosomal RNA
Source: RNAcentral
AUACGUAGGUGACAAGCGUUAUCCGGAUUUACUGGGUGUAAAGGGCGUGUAGGCGGUUUAGCAAGUCAGAAGUGAAAUUCCCGGGCUUAACUUGGGCGCUGCUUCUGAAACUGCUUUACUUGAGUGCUGGAGAGGAUAGUGGAAUUCCUAGUGUAGCGGUAAAAUGCGCAGAUAUUAGGAGGAACACCGGUGGCGAAGGCGGCUAUCUGGACAGUAACUGACGCUGAGGCGCGAAAGCACGGGGAGCAAACAGGAUUAGAUACCCUGGUAGUCCGUGCCGUAAACGAUGAAUACUAGGUGUAGGGGGUAUCGACUCCCUCUGUGCCGCAGUUAACACAAUAAGUAUUCCACCUGGGGAGUACGAUCGCAAGAUUGAAACUCAAAGGAAUUGACGGGG